This 255-nucleotide ribosomal RNA is filed under the name uncultured bacterium. RNAcentral's name for it is "partial 16S ribosomal RNA". It matches the Rfam family "Bacterial small subunit ribosomal RNA", at positions 524 to 776 of the family's 1533-position model. The record is from RNAcentral.
UACGUAGGGUGCGAGCGUUAAUCGGAAUUACUGGGCGUAAAGUGUGCGCAGGCGGCCGGAGCAAGUCGAGUGUGAAAGCCCCGGGCUUAACUUGGGAAUUGCGCUCGAAACUACUUGGCUGGAGUGUGGCAGAGGAAGGUGGAAUUCCAGGUGUAGCGGUGAAAAUGCGUAGAGAUCUGGAGGAACACCGAUGGCGAAGGCAGCCUUCUGGGCCAACACUGACGCUCAUGCACGAAAGCGUGGGGAGCAAACAGG